GACGGACAGCUGUUGCCGUACACAUGACCACUGCCCAGACCACAUCUCACCGUUCCAGACCAAGAACGGAAUCACGAACUUUUCGUUUCUCUACAGGUUUAACUGCGCAUGCGAAGAGAGGUUCUACAACUGUCUGAAGGAGGUGACCAAUGAGAAUUCAGCAUCACUAGUGGGUCAGUUUUACUUCAAUCUCCUCGAGCCCACGUGCUUCAGGAUUGACCAUCCCACAAAGUGUGUAAGAAAAGGAUGGUGGUUCCUAUGUAAGAAGAAGAUCCUAGACACGACAAAACCUCAGGCGUGGAACUUCUACAAGUUUGGCAAAUCAUUUUGAUGACAGUCUUUGCUGUUGUGGCUCAGGUCGGCUCGCCUGGUUUAGCCCUCGGGUUAAUUGUAGCCGAAACUAGACAAGUGUUUUCAGGGUCUUGCUUUGAAAAUCCUGAGCUAGUAAAUUUGUGUGUGGGAGUAAAAAUGACUGCUGCUAAUUUUUUACAAGGGAACACAACACGUCAGGUUUUGUUAACGGAAGUGAAAGAAGACCUUCGGAAGACAAAUGGCUUACCACAGUGUUCACUAGAUGACAAAAAAACAUGGCAGACGAUAACACACACGCGACACUAUGGUUACCGGAAUUAACUGUUCGAGAG
This is a long non-coding RNA of Liolophura sinensis, 644 nucleotides long. RefSeq lists it as uncharacterized. The record is from RefSeq and is a predicted model, not a curated record. The transcript is spliced from 3 exons. Lineage: Eukaryota; Metazoa; Mollusca; Polyplacophora; Chitonida; Chitonidae.